RNAcentral lists this ribosomal RNA (196 nucleotides) under uncultured eukaryote. RNAcentral's name for it is "partial 18S ribosomal RNA". It matches the Rfam family "Eukaryotic small subunit ribosomal RNA", at positions 372 to 574 of the family's 1831-position model. The record is from RNAcentral.
AGGGUUCGAUUCCGGAGAGGGAGCCUGAGAAACGGCUACCACAUCUACGGAAGGCAGCAGGCGCGAAAAUUGCCCAAUCCUGAUUCAGGGAGGCAGUGACAAGAAAUAACAACUUUCAACUUUGUUGAGAAGUGUAAUGAGGAUAAUUUACAAACCUUACCGAAAGCAAUUGGAGGGCAAGUCUGGUGCCAGCAGC